RNAcentral lists this ribosomal RNA (234 nucleotides) under Thalassospira sp. Its description in RNAcentral is "partial 16S ribosomal RNA". It matches the Rfam family "Bacterial small subunit ribosomal RNA", at positions 1 to 253 of the family's 1533-position model. Lineage: Bacteria; Pseudomonadati; Pseudomonadota; Alphaproteobacteria; Rhodospirillales; Thalassospiraceae. The record is from RNAcentral.
GAACAUGAGAGUUUGAUCCUGGCUCAGAACGAACGCUGGCGGCAGGCCUAACACAUGCAAGUCGGACGAGAAGGUACCUUCGGGUACUGGAGAGUGGCGCACGGGUGAGUAACGCGUGGGGACCUACCUCUUAGUGGGGGAUAACGGUUGGAAACGACCGCUAAUACCGCAUACGCCCUUCGGGGGAAAGAUUUAUCGCUAAGAGAUGGACCCGCGUUGGAUUAGAUAGUUGGU